UUUUAGCAAUUUAAUACUCACCUCGUCAUGGAUGUGGCUUAAAGACGGUGUGGACUGGCUUUAUAUAUGAAACAAAUUGUAAAUAAUCUACAAGUAACUUAAAGUCCUGAGCAAAAGCAGCUACUAAAGCACCACCUGGCUAUGCAACUCAAGAACUAUGUGUUUCCUGGUUAAAGCUUUGCCUAAACCUACUGAGUUUCAAGACCAUGAUUAUUUAUUUUGAUCUUCUUUGGAAAAGGCCACUAAAUAUCAUCAAAUACCUUGGGAAGACAGUAUGUAUGCGUUUUUGUGUAUUUCAAGUAGAAUCACCUAACUCUUAAAAUAUCUCUAAUGAAGUGUUUUUCUUCAAUUCUGGUGGUAAUCCAUGCUAAUGUAACCACAUGAGGAGUCUGGUCUUUCUUAAGACCAAAAACGAUAAAAAGCACUUUUUAACCUGUUAAAUGCCAAGAUAAGCAUUAGAGUCAAAGAUCUGGAGCUACAUGGAGUUUACUGAAAAAUUAUAAUCUAUAGGAUCUACAAGAAGUUUUACAUAAACAACUAUUUUAUGGUGUGCAAUGGAGGCAAAGGACAUAUUGACCAAAGAGGUUAAAGUAAGAAUCCUGUAAACCAUGAUGAGUGUCUAAUUUUUCUGAAUUCAGUUACAAGGAUAAACUAGAGACUAUGUAUUGUUUUAUGCCUCUGAAUAAGGAGUUAGGUAAACAAAACACAUUGCAAUUACUCACAGUUAUAAUAAUUGUUCUAUGCAUAGCAAGAUGCUUUGUUUGAAUUCAUAUGAUUAAUUCUCUCAGAGAAAGGCCAAUACAUUUUUAAGUCUUUUGUUUUUAGAGCCCACAGCUGCCUAAGAAUAGGCACAUCCAUUUUCUCAACCAUGUAAAGUGUGCUUAUGACCUCUACUUCCUUCCUCCCUUCUGCGAUGCUAUUAGCAGGUUCUGUGCAACAGCCAAAGACCCAUUAAAAGGCAGAAAUGUGAUUUUGAUCUUUUCAGUU
This 987-nucleotide long non-coding RNA is filed under the name Homo sapiens (human). Its description in RNAcentral is "HSALNT0249497". Lineage: Eukaryota; Metazoa; Chordata; Mammalia; Primates; Hominidae. The record is from RNAcentral.